AUUGAACGCUGGCGGCAGGCCUAACACAUGCAAGUCGAGCGGAUGACGGGAGCUUGCUCCUUGAUUCAGCGGCGGACGGGUGAGUAAUGCCUAGGAAUCUGCCUGGUAGUGGGGGACAACGUUUCGAAAGGAACGCUAAUACUGCAUACGUCCUACGGGAGAAAGCAGGGGACCUUCGGGCCUUGCGCUAUCAGAUGAGCCUAGGUCGGAUUAGCUAGUUGGUGGGGUAAUGGCUCACCAAGGCGACGAUCCGUAACUGGUCUGAGAGGAUGAUCAGUCACACUGGAACUGAGACACGGUCCAGACUCCUACGGGAGGCAGCAGUGGGGAAUAUUGGACAAUGGGCGAAAGCCUGAUCCAGCCAUGCCGCGUGUGAAGAAGGUCUUCGGAUUGUAAAGCACUUUAAGUUGGGAGGAAGGGCAGUAAGUUAAUACCUUGCUGUUUUGACGUUACCGACAGAAUAAGCACCGGCUAACUCUGUGCCAGCAGCCGCCGUAA
Molecule: ribosomal RNA, 498 nt
Filed under: uncultured bacterium
Lineage: Bacteria
Description: partial 16S ribosomal RNA
Rfam family: Bacterial small subunit ribosomal RNA
Source: RNAcentral